CACUACAAAUCAAAGCUUUGGGUACUAGAGUUGGUGGGGAGCGCCAGGCCAAUGCUAUAGUGCAGCGCAAAGGCGACGCUCGAGAGCCCCAGUAGCAAGCUACUGUGAUGGACCCUCCCCCUAAAAAAAUAAAUUUAAUAUCGUGUGAGCCAUUGGCCCACGUAUCAGAUAUUAAACUGAUAAGAACAGAUACUACACUUGAUCUUAGCCAAAAGGCCGAGAAAGGUAUGAUUGAUUCAGAGCUAGUAAGCUUUCUUUUAUAGUGCGCUCCUGCUUCUGCCCUUUGUUAUUUUUUCCAUAUGGGAUACGACAGAAUACAGACUGGGCUUGUUACUUCGUAAUAUGCUUCUAUUAUUUCACCAAGGGGCGUGAAA
Molecule: long non-coding RNA, 374 nt
Organism: Populus trichocarpa (black cottonwood)
Lineage: Eukaryota; Viridiplantae; Streptophyta; Magnoliopsida; Malpighiales; Salicaceae
Exons: 2
Source: RefSeq, a predicted model, not a curated record